AUUGAACGCUGGCGGCAGGCCUAACACAUGCAAGUCGAGCGGAUGAAGGGAGCUUGCUCCUGGAUUCAGCGGCGGACGGGUGAGUAAUGCCUAGGAAUCUGCCUGGUAGUGGGGGAUAACGUCCGGAAACGGGCGCUAAUACCGCAUACGUCCUGAGGGAGAAAGUGGGGGAUCUUCGGACCUCACGCUAUCAGAUGAGCCUAGGUCGGAUUAGCUAGUUGGUGGGGUAAAGGCCUACCAAGGCGACGAUCCGUAACUGGUCUGAGAGGAUGAUCAGUCACACUGGAACUGAGACACGGCCCAGACUCCUAGGGGAGGCAGCAGUGGGGAAUAUUGGACGAUGGGCGAAAGCCUGAUCCAGCCAUGCCGCGUGAGUGAAGAAGGUCUUCGGAUUGUAAAGCACUUUAGGUUGGGAGGAAGGGCAGUAAGUUAAUACCUUGCUGUUUUGACGUUACCAACAGAAUAAGCACCGGCUAACUUCGUG
This 484-nucleotide ribosomal RNA is filed under the name uncultured bacterium. RNAcentral's name for it is "partial 16S ribosomal RNA". It matches the Rfam family "Bacterial small subunit ribosomal RNA", at positions 30 to 507 of the family's 1533-position model. The record is from RNAcentral.